RNAcentral lists this ribosomal RNA (497 nucleotides) under uncultured bacterium. RNAcentral describes it as "partial 16S ribosomal RNA". It matches the Rfam family "Bacterial small subunit ribosomal RNA", at positions 28 to 507 of the family's 1533-position model. The record is from RNAcentral.
GACGAACGCUGGCGGCGUGCCUAAUACAUGCAAGUUGAGCGCUGAAGGUUGGUACUUGUACCAACUGGAUGAGCAGCGAACGGGUGAGUAACGCGUGGGGAAUCUGCCUUUGAGCGGGGGACAACAUUUGGAAACGAAUGCUAAUACCGCAUAAAAACUUUAAACACAAGUUUUAAGUUUGAAAGAUGCAAUUGCAUCACUCAAAGAUGAUCCCUCGUUGUAUUAGCUAGUUGGUGAGGUAAAGGCUCACCAAGGCGAUGAUACAUAGCCGACCUGAGAGGGUGAUCGGCCACAUUGGGACUGAGACACGGCCCAAACUCCUACGGGAGGCAGCAGUAGGGAAUCUUCGGCAAUGGACGAAAGUCUGACCGAGCAACGCCGCGUGAGUGAAGAAGGUUUUCGGAUCGGAAAACUCUGUUGGUAGAGAAGAACGUUGGUGAGAGUGGAAAGCUCAUCAAGUGACGGUAACUACACAGAAAGGGACGGCUAACUACGUG